Molecule: ribosomal RNA, 245 nt
Filed under: Salmonella enterica subsp. enterica serovar Montevideo str. 316111868
Lineage: Bacteria; Pseudomonadati; Pseudomonadota; Gammaproteobacteria; Enterobacterales; Enterobacteriaceae
Description: partial 16S ribosomal RNA
Rfam family: Bacterial small subunit ribosomal RNA
Source: RNAcentral
AAAUUGAAGAGUUUGAUCAUGGCUCAGAUUGAACGCUGGCGGCAGGCCUAACACAUGCAAGUCGAACGGUAACAGGAAGCAGCUUGCUGCUUCGCUGACGAGUGGCGGACGGGUGAGUAAUGUCUGGGAACUGCCUGAUGGAGGGGGAUAACUACUGGAACGGUGGCUAAUACCGCAUAACGUCGCAAGACCAAGAGGGGGACCUUCGGGCCUCUUGCCAUCAGAUGUGCCCAGAUGGGAUUAGC